AGGCUGAGUUCCACAUACCUCUCCUGUGUAGACGAUCCCGAGUC
This 44-nucleotide small RNA is filed under the name Arabidopsis thaliana (thale cress). RNAcentral's name for it is "ATSL058130". Lineage: Eukaryota; Viridiplantae; Streptophyta; Magnoliopsida; Brassicales; Brassicaceae. The record is from RNAcentral.